GAUGGGAUUAGCUUGUUGGUGAGGUAAUGGCUCACCAAGGCGACGAUCCCUAGCUGGUCUGAGAGGAUGACCAGCCACACUGGAACUGAGACACGGUCCAGACUCCUACGGGAGGCAGCAGUGGGGAAUAUUGCACAAUGGGCGCAAGCCUGAUGCAGCCAUGCCGCGUGUAUGAAGAAGGCCUUCGGGUUGUAAAGUACUUUCAGCGGGGAGGAAGGUGUUGCGGUUAAUAACCGCAGCAAUUGACGUUACCCGCAGAAGAAGCACCGGCUAACUCCGUGCCAGCAGCCGCGGUAAUACGGAGGGUGCAAGCGUUAAUCGGAAUUACUGGGCGUAAAGCGCACGCAGGCGGUCUGUCAAGUCGGAUGUGAAAUCCCCGGGCUCAACCUGGGAACUGCAUUCGAAACUGGCAGGCUUGAGUCUUGUAGAGGGGGGUAGAAUUCCAGGUGUAGCGGUGAAAUGCGUAGAGAUCUGGAGGAAUACCGGUGGCGAAGGCGGCCCCCUGGACAAAGACUGACGCUCAGGUGCGAAAGCGUGGGGAGCAAACAGGAUUAGAUACCCUGGUAGUCCACGCCGUAAACGAUGUCUACUUGGAGGUUGUGCCCUUGAGGCGUGGCUUCCGGAGCUAACGCGUUAAGUAGACCGCCUGGGGAGUACGGCCGCAAGGUUAAAACUCAAAUGAAUUGACGGGGGCCCGCACAAGCGGUGGAGCAUGUGGUUUAAUUCGAUGCAACGCGAAGAACCUUACCUGGUCUUGACAUCCACAGAACUUUCCAGAGAUGGAUUGGUGCCUUCGGGAACUGUGAGACAGGUGCUGCAUGGCUGUCGUCAGCUCGUGUUGUGAAAUGUUGGGUUAAGUCCCGCAACGAGCGCAACCCUUAUCCUUUGUUGCCAGCGGUCCGGCCGGGAACUCAAAGGAGACUGCCAGUGAUAAACUGGAGGAAGGUGGGGAUGACGUCAAGUCAUCAUGGCCCUUACGACCAGGGCUACACACGUGCUACAAUGGCGCAUACAAAGAGAAGCGACCUCGCGAGAGCAAGCGGACCUCAUAAAGUGCGUCGUAGUCCGGAUUGGAGUCUGCAACUCGACUCCAUGAAGUCGGAAUCGCUAGUAAUCGUGGAUCAGAAUGCCACGGUGAAUACGUUCCCGGGCCUUGUACACACCGCCCGUCACACCAUGGGAGUGGGUUGCAAAAGAAGUAGGUAGCUUAACCUUCGGGAGGGCGCUUACCACUUUGUGAUUCAUGACUGGGGUGAAGUCGUAACAAGGUAACCGUAGGGGAACCUGC
RNAcentral lists this ribosomal RNA (1288 nucleotides) under Salmonella enterica subsp. enterica serovar Newport. Its description in RNAcentral is "bacterial SSU rRNA". It matches the Rfam family "Bacterial small subunit ribosomal RNA", at positions 234 to 1515 of the family's 1533-position model. Lineage: Bacteria; Pseudomonadati; Pseudomonadota; Gammaproteobacteria; Enterobacterales; Enterobacteriaceae. The record is from RNAcentral.